CGUCGUCGGCACUAAUUGUUGAUGUUUGGACGGUCUCCGAGAGGGAUGAACAGUAGCGACGGUGAUAGAGAACAGAAAAUAGUGAGUGGUGAGAGAACAUCAUGACGGGAGAGAAGACAAGCAUAAAAGCAGCACCGGAGGAGUUAGAUCGCCGAUUGCCGAUUACCGGUCGUGAUCUUAAGAGGAGUCCAGCAUUUGGAAUGAAAAACGAAUGGGGUUCACGUGUACUCAUAUUUUUUAUAUUUUUCUUUUAAAAAAAUAUAAAG
Molecule: unclassified non-coding RNA, 266 nt
Filed under: Hevea brasiliensis (rubber tree)
Lineage: Eukaryota; Viridiplantae; Streptophyta; Magnoliopsida; Malpighiales; Euphorbiaceae
Source: RNAcentral